This 263-nucleotide ribosomal RNA is filed under the name uncultured bacterium. RNAcentral describes it as "partial 16S ribosomal RNA". It matches the Rfam family "Bacterial small subunit ribosomal RNA", at positions 793 to 1055 of the family's 1533-position model. The record is from RNAcentral.
GUCCACGCCGUAAACGAUGUCGAUUUGGAGGCUGUGUACUUGAGACGUGGCUUCCGGAGCUAACGCGUUAAAUCGACCGCCUGGGGAGUACGGCCGCAAGGUUAAAACUCAAAUGAAUUGACGGGGGCCCGCACAAGCGGUGGAGCAUGUGGUUUAAUUCGAUGCAACGCGAAGAACCUUACCUGGCCUUGACAUGUCUGGAAUCCUGUAGAGAUACGGGAGUGCCUUCGGGAAUCAGAACACAGGUGCUGCAUGGCUGUCGU